RNAcentral lists this unclassified non-coding RNA (517 nucleotides) under Microcystis aeruginosa IPPAS B-1527. Its description in RNAcentral is "partial contains 16S ribosomal RNA and 16S-23S ribosomal RNA intergenic spacer". The stretch from base 1 to 153 matches the Rfam family "Bacterial small subunit ribosomal RNA", at positions 1381 to 1533 of the family's 1533-position model. The record is from RNAcentral. Lineage: Bacteria; Bacillati; Cyanobacteriota; Cyanophyceae; Chroococcales; Microcystaceae.
UUGUACACACCGCCCGUCACACCAUGGAAGCUGGUCACGCCCGAAGUCAUUACCUCAACCGCAAGGAGGGGGAUGCCUAAGGCAGGGCUAGUGACUGGGGUGAAGUCGUAACAAGGUAGCCGUACCGGAAGGUGUGGCUGGAUCACCUCCUUAAAGGGAGACCUAAUUCAGGUAGGAGACGAAAAAAAAGUAGUCGCUACCAAGAAUCAAUCCCAAAAGGUCGGAGCGAGGCGAAAUUGGCUUUCAAACUAGGUUCUGGGUUCAAACAAGACCUGAAUCAGGAACAAGGGCUAUUAGCUCAGGUGGUUAGAGCGCACCCCUGAUAAGGGUGAGGUCCCUGGUUCGAGUCCAGGAUGGCCCACCUGUACAGGUGGCAAAAAGAAAGAAAAGAAGCGAGGAAUCAGCACCUUAUCUUACUUAUAUAAUAAGAGAGAAUGCUGGCUCUGAGUAAAGAGUCCAGAGGAACCUUGAAAACUGCAUAGAGCUAGGUGAAAAAGCCAAAAAAGAAGACCGCAAG